GUGGGGAAUCUUGCGCAAUGGGCGAAAGCCUGACGCAGCCAUGCCGCGUGAAUGAUGAAGGUCUUAGGAUUGUAAAAUUCUUUCACCGGGGACGAUAAUGACGGUACCCGGAGAAGAAGCCCCGGCUAACUUCGUGCCAGCAGCCGCGGUAAUACGAAGGGGGCUAGCGUUGCUCGGAAUUACUGGGCGUAAAGGGCGCGUAGGCGGACAGUUUAGUCAGAGGUGAAAGCCCAGGGCUCAACUCUGGAACUGCCCUUGAUACUGGCGAUCUUGAGUGUGAGAGAGGUAUGUGGAACUCCGAGUGUAGAGGUGAAAUUCGUAGAUAUUCGGAAGAACACCAGUGGCGAAGGCGACAUACUGGCUCAUUACUGACGCUGAGGCGCGAAAGCGUGGGGAGCAAACAGGAUUAGAUACCCUGGUAGUCC
RNAcentral lists this ribosomal RNA (425 nucleotides) under uncultured bacterium. Its description in RNAcentral is "partial 16S ribosomal RNA". It matches the Rfam family "Bacterial small subunit ribosomal RNA", at positions 354 to 796 of the family's 1533-position model. The record is from RNAcentral.